Molecule: ribosomal RNA, 253 nt
Filed under: uncultured bacterium
Lineage: Bacteria
Description: partial 16S ribosomal RNA
Rfam family: Bacterial small subunit ribosomal RNA
Source: RNAcentral
UACAGAGGGUGCAAGCGUUAAUCGGAAUUACUGGGCGUAAAGCGUGCGUAGUCGGUUAUUUAAGUCCGCUCUGAAAGUCCGGGGCUCAACCCCGGGAGGCGGGCGGAUACUGUCGGGCUAGAGUCCGGAAGAGGCGAGUGGAAUUCCUGGUGUAGCGGUGAAAUGCGCAGAUAUCAGGAGGAACACCAAUGGCGAAGGCAGCUCGCUGGGACGGUACUGACGCUGAGGCGCGAAAGCGUGGGGAGCAAACAGG